Arabidopsis thaliana (thale cress) is the source of this 205-nucleotide RNA transcript. RefSeq lists it as uncharacterized. The record is from RefSeq. Lineage: Eukaryota; Viridiplantae; Streptophyta; Magnoliopsida; Brassicales; Brassicaceae. The transcript has 2 exons.
CUCACACGAAAUGCAAGAGUACCUCCUGAUAUUGCUCCCUAGUGCUGCUCUCAAUCUCUGAAGUGGAGGCUAUGGAAUGCAUGAAGUCGACCAAAAUAUUUCCGGGGAAAUGUAAUGAAACGUUCCACUGCGAUCAUGAAUGCAGUAACUUUUGGUUUUCAAUUAAGAUUGUAUUGUGAUAAUGAAUGAGAAUACAUUUGUUCUC